Syngnathus acus (greater pipefish) is the source of this 516-nucleotide long non-coding RNA. RefSeq lists it as uncharacterized. The transcript is spliced from 3 exons. Lineage: Eukaryota; Metazoa; Chordata; Actinopteri; Syngnathiformes; Syngnathidae. The record is from RefSeq and is a predicted model, not a curated record.
UUGCUGCUCGGCGGCGCUCGGCGGGCUCUGCGGCAGGCUUCUGGAGGAGAUGCGGGACUUUCUCUUUUGAAGUUUCUUCUUUUUGGGCCGCAGCGUCGGACAUGUCAUCGUUGUUAUCUUCUUUCUCAUCGUCACUGCUCAGCACAUAGAUGAACUCCGGCGGAGAUAUAUUUGCAGCCGGGACAGCUGCAAACAGACAAAACCCAGGCAUCAGUGUGAACCUUCAACAGGAAAACAUUGUUGGAACUAACUUUUUGCAGGGACCACAAGCCGCAUCAUGGGAGAGGACAAGCUGUUGUUUUUGGGAUGUGGGAGGAAAACGGAGUGCCCGGAGAAAACCCACGCAGGCACGGAGACAACAUGCAAACUCCACACAGGGAGGGCCGGAGGUGGAAUCAAACCUGCACCCUCUGAGUUGUGAGGCGGACGUGCCACGAGCCGCCUUGUUUCCAUAAAUAUUCUCAAAAUUAUUUUAUUUCUGUGACUGAUGACAAAAUGAAAAGGUAGCCCCAAAAG